This 131-nucleotide small nucleolar RNA is filed under the name Castor canadensis (American beaver). RNAcentral describes it as "Small nucleolar RNA SNORA51 (ENSCCNG00000013667.1)". It matches the Rfam family "Small nucleolar RNA SNORA51". Rfam says of the family: ACA51 is a member of the H/ACA class of snoRNA that guide the sites of modification of uridines to pseudouridines. The record is from Rfam by way of RNAcentral. Lineage: Eukaryota; Metazoa; Chordata; Mammalia; Rodentia; Castoridae.
GGCCUCCUGGUGCUUACCACAGCUGUGUUCUCACACGGACGGUGUAGAAAGAGGAGGCAAAGUGAACCUACCCCACAUACACCUCAGCACAGGCCCUGGGCCUCAUCUGUAUUGUGAGUGGGGAGACAUAG